This 250-nucleotide ribosomal RNA is filed under the name uncultured prokaryote. RNAcentral describes it as "partial 16S ribosomal RNA". It matches the Rfam family "Bacterial small subunit ribosomal RNA", at positions 524 to 773 of the family's 1533-position model. The record is from RNAcentral.
UACGUAGGGAGCAAGCGUUAUCCGGAUUUAUUGGGUGUAAAGGGUGCGUAGACGGGAAGACAAGUUGGUUGUGAAAUCCCUCGGCUUAACUGAGGAACUGCAACCAAAACUAUCACUCUUGAGUGCUGGAGAGGAAAGUGGAAUUCCUAGUGUAGCGGUGAAAUGCGUAGAUAUUAGGAGGAACACCAGUGGCGAAGGCGGCUUUCUGGACCGUAACUGACGCUGAGGCACGAAAGCGUGGGGAGCAAAC